RNAcentral lists this ribosomal RNA (1442 nucleotides) under metagenome. Its description in RNAcentral is "SSU rRNA". It matches the Rfam family "Eukaryotic small subunit ribosomal RNA", at positions 380 to 1801 of the family's 1831-position model. The record is from RNAcentral.
AUUUCGGAGAAGGAGCCUGAGAGACGGCUACUACAUCUAAGGAAGGCAGCAGGCGCGCAAAUUUCCCAUUGCUUAUCAUAUAAUGUAAGCGAGGAAGUGACGAUCAAUAACAAUGUGUGACUCUUUAUGGGUUAUGCAAUUGGAAUGACUACAAUUUAAAGAGUUUAAGAAGGAUCAAUUGGAGGGCAAGUCUGGUGCCAGCAGCCGCGGUAAUUCCAGCUCCAAUAGGAUAUAUCAAAGUUGUUGCAGUUAAAAAGCUCGUAGUUGAAUUUCUGGAAGGUAGAAGUGUUUUUCUUAGAGAAGCAAUUUUUUAUGAAAGACGCCGCUUUCCAUUUUGUGGAUUUCUGUUUUGUAUGAGAUAGUUUACUCUAUUUUUAUAUAAAAUACCACUCCGUCACUGAGAGCAAAUUGGAGUGCUCAAAGCAGGCUUUAUUAGCUUUGAACAUUUUAGCUUGGAAUGACAAGAUAUGACUUUUGUUUUAUUUUGUUGGUUAUGAAAUAAAAGUAAUGAUUAACAGGAACAGUUGCGGGGGUACUCGUAUUGAAAGGUCAGAGGUGAAAUUCUUGGAUUCUUUCAAGACGAACGACUGCGAAAGCAUUUACCAAGGAUGUUUUCAUUAAUCAAGAACGAAAGCUCGGGGAUCGAAGAUGAUUAGAUACCAUCGUAGUCCGACGCCAUAAACGAUGCCGACUCGGGAUUAUUUUGUUUGUUUACAUUAAAAAAGAACACAAAGUAGCACCGUAUGAGAAAUCAAAGUCUUUGGGUUCCGGGGGGAGUAUGGUCGCAAGGCUGAAACUUAAAGGAAUUGACGGAAGGGCACACCAGAGGUGGAGCCUGCGGUUUAAUUUGACUCAACACGGGGAAACUUACCAGGUCCAGACAUGAUGAGGAUUGACAGUUUGAAAGCACUUUCUUGAUUUCAUGGGUGGUGGUGCAUGGCCGUUCUUAGUUGGUGGAGUGAUUUGUCUGGUUGAUUCCGAUAACGAACGAGACGGGGUGAAUUUACUAGUUUGUUAUAUAAUUUACGUUAUAUAAGACUUCUUUAUUCGACAACUUGGUUUUACCAAGAGGAAGCGCCCCGCAAUAACAGGUCUGUGAUGCCCUUAGAUGUUCUGGGCUACACGCGCGCUACAAUGACGAAUUCAACGAGUUUAAAAUUUAUUCCUUAUCCGGAAGGAUGUGGGUAAUCUUUUCAAUAUUCGUCGUGAUGGGGCUAGAUUUUUGCAAUUAUUAAUCUUCAACGAGGAAUCUCUAGUAUGUGCAAGUCAUCAGCUUGCGCAGAAUGCGUCCCUGCCCUUUGUACACACCGCCCGUCGCACCUACCGAUUGGACGAUCCGGCAAGAUGUUUGGAGUUGUUUUGAUUGUAGAGUAAUUUAUGAUGAAAAUGACAAAGCUCUUCAAACCUUAUCGUCUAGAGGAAGGUGAAGUCGUAACAAGGUC